RNAcentral lists this small RNA (125 nucleotides) under Marmota monax (woodchuck). The record is from RNAcentral. Lineage: Eukaryota; Metazoa; Chordata; Mammalia; Rodentia; Sciuridae.
GCUGGGCGUGGUGGUGCACGCCUGUAAUCCCAGCGGCUUGGGAGGCUGAGGCAGGAGGAUUGCAAGUUCAAACCCAGCCUCAGCAAAAGCGAGGUGCUAAGCAACUCAGUGAGACCCUGUCUCUA